RNAcentral lists this ribosomal RNA (465 nucleotides) under Vreelandella stevensii. RNAcentral describes it as "partial 16S ribosomal RNA". It matches the Rfam family "Bacterial small subunit ribosomal RNA", at positions 338 to 795 of the family's 1533-position model. The record is from RNAcentral. Lineage: Bacteria; Pseudomonadati; Pseudomonadota; Gammaproteobacteria; Oceanospirillales; Halomonadaceae.
CCUACGGGCGGCUGCAGUGGGGAAUAUUGGACAAUGGGGGCAACCCUGAUCCAGCCAUGCCGCGUGUGUGAAGAAGGCCCUCGGGUUGUAAAGCACUUUCAGUGAGGAAGAACGCCUAGUGGGUAAUACCCAUCAGGAAAGACAUCACUCACAGAAGAAGCACCGGCUAACUCCGUGCCAGCAGCCGCGGUAAUACGGAGGGUGCGAGCGUUAAUCGGAAUUACUGGGCGUAAAGCGCGCGUAGGUGGCUUGAUAAGCCGGUUGUGAAAGCCCCGGGCUCAACCUGGGAACGGCAUCCGGAACUGUCAAGCUAGAGUGCAGGAGAGGAAGGUAGAAUUCCCGGUGUAGCGGUGAAAUGCGUAGAGAUCGGGAGGAAUACCAGUGGCGAAGGCGGCCUUCUGGACUGACACUGACACUGAGGUGCGAAAGCGUGGGUAGCAAACAGGAUUAGAUACCCGUGUAGUC